RNAcentral lists this non-coding RNA (206 nucleotides) under Allomesorhizobium alhagi. The record is from RNAcentral. Lineage: Bacteria; Pseudomonadati; Pseudomonadota; Alphaproteobacteria; Hyphomicrobiales; Phyllobacteriaceae.
AUCGUGGCCGUUCGUUCGGGCGCGGCGUUCCUGGUGAAGGAGAUUGGCGGACGCUGGCCCCGCCGCUACCGAAGCCGCGACUGCCCCCGCAACUGUAGCCGGCGAGCUUUCUUUCAACGAGCCACUGGUCGCGUGAUGCGACUGGGGGGGCGAAAGAAAAGCAGCGACCCGGACGUCAGGAGACCUGCCUGUUCCUGGCACCCAUG